GCGAGUUUAAUGACAGGAGCAUAGGAAUGUGAUCAGAAAAAAAUAAGCAACACACACAAAAUGCUGGAGGAACUCAGCAGGCCAGGCAGAGUUCUAUUGAAAAGAGUACAGUCAACAUUUUGCGCCAAAACCCUUCGGCAGAACUGGAGAACAAAAGCUGAGGCGUAGAUUUGAAAGGAAUGUGUAAAACAGAGCGAGUAGGACUAGUGAUAGAGAGAGCACAGAAAAUCAGAGAGAGGGCAUUCUGAUGGGAGGCCGAGUUGCUAGCUCGACACUCAACCCAGCACAGAUGGAAAACGUGCAAGGAGCUGGCUGGUUUCGAACCCAGGACCACCCAAAGUCCGGUAUGGAUACCACUACACCACCAGCCGGUUAAGUCUCUGGUAGUCCAUUUGAUUUAUUUUCAAAUAAAUCUAGUUUUCCAUCUUUAAUUACCUGGCAGAUAGUGUCCUCUGCCAUCUGUCAGAGAGCUGUCUCAUGCAACACACACUGAAUACUGGAGGAUCUGUGGGUCAGGCAGCAUCUCGGGAGGGAAACGUCGACAGGCAACAGGAUCAGGACCCAUUGACUGACUCAGCAGAUCAGGCAGCAUCUAUGGAUAGAAAUAAACA
Long non-coding RNA from Mobula hypostoma (lesser devil ray), 611 nucleotides. RefSeq lists it as uncharacterized. Lineage: Eukaryota; Metazoa; Chordata; Chondrichthyes; Myliobatiformes; Myliobatidae. The transcript is spliced from 3 exons. The record is from RefSeq and is a predicted model, not a curated record.